GACGAACGCUGGCGGCGUGCUUAACACAUGCAAGUCGAACGGAAAGGCCCUGCUUGCAGGGUACUCGAGUGGCGAACGGGUGAGUAACACGUGGGUGAUCUGCCCUGCACUUCGGGAUAAGCUUGGGAAACUGGGUCUAAUACCGGAUAGGAGCCAUCUUUAGUGUGGUGGUUGGAAAGUUUUUUCGGUGUAGGAUGAGCUCGCGGCCUAUCAGCUUGUUGGUGGGGUAAUGGCCUACCAAGGCGGCGACGGGUAGCCGGCCUGAGAGGGUGUACGGCCACAUUGGGACUGAGAUACGGCCCAGACUCCUACGGGAGGCAGCAGUGGGGAAUAUUGCACAAUGGGCGCAAGCCUGAUGCAGCGACGCCGCGGGGGGGAUGAAGGCCUUCGGGUUGGAAACUCCUUUCGCUAGGGACGAAGCUUUUUGUGACGGUACCUAGAUAAGAAGCACCGGCUAACUACGUG
This 465-nucleotide ribosomal RNA is filed under the name uncultured bacterium. RNAcentral describes it as "partial 16S ribosomal RNA". It matches the Rfam family "Bacterial small subunit ribosomal RNA", at positions 28 to 507 of the family's 1533-position model. The record is from RNAcentral.